AGUGAACGCUGGCGGUAGGCCUAACACAUGCAAGUCGAACGGCAGCACAGGAGAGCUUGCUCUCUGGGUGGCGAGUGGCGGACGGGUGAGGAAUACAUCGGAAUCUACUCUGUCGUGGGGGAUAACGUAGGGAAACUUACGCUAAUACCGCAUACGACCUACGGGUGAAAGCAGGGGACCUUCGGGCCUUGCGCGAUUGAAUGAGCCGAUGUCGGAUUAGCUAGUUGGCGGGGUAAAGGCCCACCAAGGCGACGAUCCGUAGCUGGUCUGAGAGGAUGAUCGGCCACACUGGAACUGGAACACGGUCCAGACUCCUACGGGAGGCAGCAGUGGGGAAUAUUGGACAAUGGGCGCAAGCCCGAUCCAGCCAUACCGCGUGGGUGAAGAAGGCCUUCGGGUUGUAAAGCCCUUUUGUUGGGAAAGAAAUCCAGCUGGCUAAUACCCGGUUGGGAUGACGGUACCCAAAGAAUAAGCACCGGCUAACUUCGUGCCAGCCGCCGCCGUAA
This 506-nucleotide ribosomal RNA is filed under the name uncultured bacterium. RNAcentral's name for it is "partial 16S ribosomal RNA". It matches the Rfam family "Bacterial small subunit ribosomal RNA", at positions 29 to 523 of the family's 1533-position model. The record is from RNAcentral.